GUGGUUACAGUAGCAAAAACUAUGAUAGCAAUAGCAUUACCUAGGAAAAGCACUCGUUGUGCAAUUGAUUCAAAGAAGAUAGCUGCGAGAAGGCUGCAGAUUGCUGGAUGGUUACUGCGUCUGGCUAAAUCUCUACAUGUUCCCCUGUUUCUGACAACCCAUUUUUGUUGCACUGCUCUAGAGUAGAUGCCCAAUUCCCACAUUUCUACACCGUUGCUAUGGUCUUCGAGGCACCGAAUUAGGGUUUCAACGUUUAUUGCUAGGGUUCCUGUUUCCUUCUAGACAAAGAACUUCGAAGUCUUCAUGGUCUUUCAAUCCAUACCAUUUCACUUGUCGAAGAUGUUCGUAUGGACACACUGGCUUUAAAAUCCCAGCUCGAACUCAUUUCUUGCUGAGAUCUUGCCAGUUCGUAACCGAGACAGGCUAAUGCACGAUGAGUGUGCAAGUGCACUUGCAGAUAAUGUGCACGGCGAGUAUUAGAAAACUCUUAGCGUGGUUUAGCAACAGGUUUAGAUUGGUGUUGGCCAUCACAGUACAGAUUACGCUGCCUUUUUGGGGGAUUCAAAAUUUGCUUCUAUGAGUUUGGUUGAUCUUGCUACAUGGAAAGUCACUAGGGCCUUCCUGGUGCUCUGGUCGGGAUACAGUUGCUGUCCCCUUCUUGCCCCGAACUGCGAUCAUUGGUUGGUUUAUGCCUCUUCCGAUUCUGUGUGGUCUUGCUUCACCUUGUCGAUAACAUUGGCGCCGGUUAUGACAUUGCUUGCAGCCACACAUUUGAGGAAAACUUUUUGUGUGGUGAAUAUACAAUUCUUCAACACAUGCUAACAACACCAAAGGAACUGCCUGUACUCCUUGCAGUUCCAAGGAUUGUAAAGCAUGGUCGCUUCAACACUCGCUGGAAGACUUAUGAAUGAGUCAGAUGUCGACGGCCACUUGAAUGCAACACAAUUACAGCUGAGUCUACAGGAAGCAUUGCUGGAGCAGGUCUGAAUGAGUGUCUGUACCUAAGAAACCUUCACUUCGAAAAUUCUGAAGCUGGAACUGCAUGCGAUGAAAGCUCUUCGACUAUCACAUGUAAUCGGACAUCGCAGCCUCUCUCUGGCACGAGUUCAGCACCAUGAGGCGAGGUCAGCCAUCAUAUUGUCCACUUUCCCAAAACAAAGUCACUCUUCUACAAGUAAGUGACAUGAAGCUUGACAGUUAUCUGAAUUUCCCUUUCAUUUGUCGAUGAUACAGCAGCAACAAUAUGGUAUUCGAGCGCUUCUAAUUAGUCUAGCGAUAUGUCUCCGUUUCAAGGUCAACGCUUGCCCAGCACUGUGUGUCGGUCGAGGAAUUGUCGAACAACGACAAGAUUUCAGGUUCCUUCUCCAAUCUGAAAGGAAGGUAAAAAUCUUGUCAGUUGACAGUUGUAAGUCACUGACCAGAAUAAUCCUUCGCUGACCGAUUGAAUCAGGUAUAGAUCACGUAAGUUCAUGUUGGAGUCGUAUCAGUGCUCCAAAUUACGACAAUCAGGACCAAGAAUAUUGAGCGAAGAAUGACGGUUGUAGUACUCAAUGUGCGCAUAGAUGCUUUCGCUGUACUUAUACAGCUAUGUAUGAGGUUUUACUCUUUAGAUAAUUUUUCUACCUCUCUGCCUGACAGGUCUGCCUUGUUAGCUCAGUUGGUUAGAGCGUCGUGCUAAUAACGCGAAGGUCACAGGUUCGAGACCUGUACAGGGCAAUGCUUAUUGACCUAUCUAGGUCAAAACCUUGUGAUCGUGUUUUACGCGAUGUCGGCUUGUCCCCAGUUCAAUCAUCUUCAUACCUCUAUUCUGAUCAGACAGCUGCAUCUGGUCGAUAUUUUUGUUCUGGGAGUGUCAGAAGUUAUUUCCAUGCACUUCGAACCAUUUCACAGACCUCCACGUCUUUAGCUUUUCUUCCAUCGUUUUUCGAUUUUCUUGAUGCCUUCCUUGUUUUGUUCUCCGAACUUGUGAGUGUCAGGCCUCGAAUUGAGUCCAGAAGCUUCUGCGGACCUCCGGUUUUAUUAGAAUCUGUCCUCAUUUUCAAUCCAUCUCUUGCCUUUGAAUUUCAUGUAAACAUUAACGUCAGGCAGUUUUCCAGCACUCCCUGCUCUAAAUUUUAUUUUAACGAUCUUACAAGCAUGAAGUGCAAAACAAGAAUCGGAGUCAACCAACCUCUCCUUUACGUUAGUUGUGGUUUUCACGGGCUUGGUGAAGGGUGGCGAAGCUCUCGCGAUCAGUUUCGGUAGAUUUACCAUACACAGAAGUAACAUUAGGAUCAUAUUCUAAACUUGGAGAUGUCUUUGUUAGGUUUCUAAAUUGGGCUGUGACAAAGCGGGUUGGCCACACUUCCGAAUCCCAUCUUCAACUGUUCCUUUCUUUUAGCAAUCAUGUCAUUGAUUCCAAACUCGGGUGCCGGACAAAUUCUAAGUGAUUAAAACCGAACUCAAUACUUUGAAUUUCAGUGUCCGCAGUAGUGGCUAUGAGCCAGCUCUUUAAUUCCAUCUGUGUUCGAUUGUGAAGCAGACCUCAAAUCAAGAAGACUUUGCAACUUUA
This is a non-coding RNA of Physcomitrium patens, 2551 nucleotides long. The record is from RefSeq and is a predicted model, not a curated record. NCBI's taxonomy places the organism in Eukaryota, Viridiplantae, Streptophyta, Bryopsida, Funariales, Funariaceae.